This 478-nucleotide ribosomal RNA is filed under the name uncultured bacterium. RNAcentral's name for it is "partial 16S ribosomal RNA". It matches the Rfam family "Bacterial small subunit ribosomal RNA", at positions 28 to 507 of the family's 1533-position model. The record is from RNAcentral.
GAUGAACGCUGGCGGCGUGCCUAACACAUGCAAGUCGAACGGAGUCCAGCCUUAGAGACCUUCGGUUCAAAGAGGGGAAGACUGAGUGUCGGACGGGUGAGUAACACGUGGGCAACCUGGCUCAUAGAGGGGGAUAACAGAGAGAAAUUUCUGCUAAUACCGCAUAAGCACACACUGCCGCAUGGCAGAGUGUGAAAAGAGAAUCGCUAUGAGAUGGACCCGCGUCUGAUUAGCCAGUUGGCAGGGUAAGAGCCUACCAAAGCGACGAUCAGUAGCCGAUUUGAGAGGAUGAACGGCCACAUUGGGACUGAGACACGGCCCAAACUCCUACGGGAGGAAGCAGUGGGGGAUAUUGCACAAUGGGGGGAACCCUGAUGCAGCGACGCCGCGUGAGUGAAGAAGUAUUUCGGUAUGUAAAGCUCUAUCAGCAGGGAAGAUAAUGACAGUACCUGAAUAAGAAGCCCCGGCUAACUACGUG